Long non-coding RNA from Arachis ipaensis, 882 nucleotides. RefSeq lists it as uncharacterized. Lineage: Eukaryota; Viridiplantae; Streptophyta; Magnoliopsida; Fabales; Fabaceae. The record is from RefSeq and is a predicted model, not a curated record.
AUUUCGUUCCUAACUUUCCUUCCUUCAUUCUCCUCAAUUCAAAGAAAGAAAACCCUAGCUAGCCUCCACAGUCGCCGAAUGGAGUGAGUGACCAUUGCCGCCGUCCGUGGUUGUCCGAGGCUUCUCUCUUCGUCUUGUCCUCAACCCCCUGUUCACACUUCGGUCUUUUCUUCCUCACUCGGCAUCCAUCCUCCAUCGUCUUCAUCCUGCGCGCUGUCCUCUCGUCGCCGUUUCGUUUCUAACAAAAAUAAAAAACAAAGCUUCGGUAGCGCUGAGAUCCCCUUGCCCCUUUCUCUCCUUCUUCACUCUCCAGAACUCAACUCAACCUCAAGUCCUCUCAACCAAAGAAAAAGUUCAAAACCCUAGCCUCAGCUGCUGUUCGUUUGUCCGUCGAGCCACUGCCUCCGUCUGUUCGUCAAGCCCCGGAGCCCAGAUCCCCAAACUUCAAAGAUGCUUACCUGGGUAUCCCUUCAAGUGUUCGAAGCUAUAGAUUACUCCUGAGAAUGGCUUAUCCGAGAGUGAUACUGAUAAACUAUUGUCACUCCUCCAUGAUCAGGUAGUGUUGUAGUAAUAUUUAUGGCUAGGAUGAAGUAUUGGUUAGCAAUAAAAUGCUUUGAUGUUUUUGGUUCCUUGGUGUCCAAGUUGGUAGAAAGGGAGCCACAUGGUGGAAGAAGUAUCAAUUGGAGGCAAGGAAGCAACUUUCAACUCAGCGAGGCUAUCUUCGCUUUCGACCGUAAAUGAAGAAGGAGAAGCAUCUCAGAGAAGCUUUCUAACAGCAUUUAGUUGUUUGUCAUCAAAAUUAGAAACCUUGGACAAUGAUUCUUUAGAGUGUUUUUAUACCUUUAUUUAUAAUUAUAUUUUAGAAUGUUUAUUUAUAAUUUA